This 690-nucleotide ribosomal RNA is filed under the name Janthinobacterium lividum. RNAcentral describes it as "bacterial SSU rRNA". It matches the Rfam family "Bacterial small subunit ribosomal RNA", at positions 53 to 737 of the family's 1533-position model. The record is from RNAcentral. Lineage: Bacteria; Pseudomonadati; Pseudomonadota; Betaproteobacteria; Burkholderiales; Oxalobacteraceae.
GCAUGCAGUCGAACGGCAGCACGGAGCUUGCUCUGGUGGCGAGUGGCGAACGGGUGAGUAAUAUAUCGGAACGUACCCUAGAGUGGGGGAUAACGUAGCGAAAGUUACGCUAAUACCGCAUACGAUCUAAGGAUGAAAGUGGGGGAUCGCAAGACCUCAUGCUCGUGGAGCGGCCGAUAUCUGAUUAGCUAGUUGGUAGGGUAAAAGCCUACCAAGGCAUCGAUCAGUAGCUGGUCUGAGAGGACGACCAGCCACACUGGAACUGAGACACGGUCCAGACUCCUACGGGAGGCAGCAGUGGGGAAUUUUGGACAAUGGGCGAAAGCCUGAUCCAGCAAUGCCGCGUGAGUGAAGAAGGCCUUCGGGUUGUAAAGCUCUUUUGUCAGGGAAGAAACGGUGAGGGCUAAUAUCUUUUGCUAAUGACGGUACCUGAAGAAUAAGCACCGGCUAACUACGUGCCAGCAGCCGCGGUAAUACGUAGGGUGCAAGCGUUAAUCGGAAUUACUGGGCGUAAAGCGUGCGCAGGCGGUUUUGUAAGUCUGAUGUGAAAUCCCCGGGCUCAACCUGGGAAUUUGCAUUGGAGACUGCAAGGCUAGAAUCUGGCAGAGGGGGGUAGAAUUCCACGUGUAGCAGUGAAAUGCGUAGAUAUGUGGAGGAACACCGAUGGCGAAGGGCAGCCCCCUGGGUCAA